UUUUUUUCCAAAAAUAUAUUUGCUAAUGAUUGACCACAAAUCUUCUUCAUAAAAUAUUUAAAUCGAGAAGAGAAUAACACAUCAGCAGGAUAUCCAUGGUCUCCGACACGAUUGAAGAUCCAAGCCCCUCUUCUGGUGCUGAGGAAAACCUGAGGCACGGGGAAAGAAUGUUUGUUUUUGCCGUUCUCUGACUCAUUUCUCUGAAGGAAUGGGAACCCAGUUUCUUCAAGAUGAACUUCAAACUCAUUAGUCUGGCUUUUUAUUCCCUGGCAAUAUAUAUAUUUUUAAAUUUCCUGCCAUUUUCUUGUCAAACACUAAGCUUACAAUUAAAUUGGUGUAGUCACUGACCAAGACUCUGUCUUGCUCUGAACUACCAGUGCAUUUCUGUUUAAUGUCAUUAUGCCUCCCUGAAAAGUUUAAUUCUCCAAAGCCUAUUCAUUUUUCAGAUCCAGAUCAAGUCUCCCUCCUCCAUGAAGAUACCACUGACUGUUCUGGCUGAUAAUUUUCUCUCCAUCUUCUGAACUUCUCUAGCACUUGUCACCUGUCCAACUCAUUUAAAAUCAUGGAACAGUAAAGCUGAAAGCAACUGGACAUCAUUAAUCCAAAACCUUCAGUCUUUAUUUUGCCUUUGACAUUGUUUACAUUAUUACAAAAAAUUAUUUAUAUUGACAUUUAACAUUAUAUAUUCUUAUUUUUUAUCUUUCCAAAUGUGUUUUCUCCAAGGUGGGAGGUAGAGCAUAUACCUCCUUUAGUCACCAACCUAUCAUCAGCAUCACUUCCUUUUAUUGAGAAUUGUAACCUAUAAAUCGCUGUACUAGGUCCUUUAUCUAUAUUUUUAUUUAAUCAAUACAACAACCUCUUGAGGUAGGUACUGUUAUGUCCUUUAUAUGGGUGAGGAGAAUGGAGAGGAUGAAUAACUUGCCUGAGGUCAUAUAGCACUAAGUGGUAGAGCUGAAUUUCCUACCUAAGUCUGACUGACUCCAAAGCCUGUGCUUAAGUAAUGUUUCAUCGAUUAUUUAAGGGAAAAACUGAAGAUUGCAAAUAGCACAAAGGGAGCUGGUCCGUCUUUCUGUUAUCUGCUGGCUAAAGUCCACAUUCAGAGCUGAUAAAAAGUUUGGUAUUCAACUACCUGGCAAAAGCAUCACUUUAUAUUAUAAAACUCUCUGGAGAUAGUUUCCCGGGUUGUAAGCUAUAUAAGUACAUUGUGUUAUGGUGUUUUGUCUUAACGCUUCGUGUUAAAAUGUGACCUGUCUAUAGAGGGCUAAUCAUGUACUUCAUACAUAUAUUCUCACUGAUGGUGACCUUAAACUCUACCAUAAUUAAGCACUUUUACGUGUCACCGUUGAACGAGCCUGCGUGGUCUUAGGAAUCAAUGGCUUUUUGUGCACUCUAUAUAACUUUUAACAUAUAAGUUGUGAGUAAUGUAAAUGCUCAGAGCUUUAAUUAAAAAGUUCUCUGUGUAUAAAAUAGUGACAAAAAUACAUACGUCACAAAGCUUUUUCAGACACAGCUACCUUACCUCCACCCGCUCUUGCUGCCUUGUUCUUUGGCAAUUUACAAUUCCUCAGUGCUUGUAAGGCCCAGCUCCUCUACAGCUGACCAUUUAACAAGCCAAUGGUAUUAAAGAAAGCUCAUGCCUUCGGUCCCCACCACAUACCUGGUACAUUCUUUUAUCAUAGCACCCAUACCCUUUAUUGUUUAUAUACCUAUUUCCUAAUAAAUGCUUGUUGAAUUAAUUUGUGGAGUAAUAUAUGAAAUCAGUUUUGUGGUGAUCAAUGGGGAUAGACUGAGAGGAAGUGUUACUGAAUGGAGUUUGUGGGUAAAGUUCAUUUAACAAAGUUGUGGCAUUAAACUUCUAUUUUUAAAAAUAAUUGAAAAACAAUUUGUGGAGAUGCACAGCUUAAUUAAAGUUACUGAAGAACAACCAGGCAUUUAUGUAUUGCCAAUAAAGUUGUGAUUCAAUAAAUAUAUGAAUAACAAAAUAUAUCAAUAAUGUCUUUUUUUUAAUAAUGUCUUUUUCUAGGAAUUUAUAAUGAAGCUACUUCCUUCCCAGUUCAAAAUCUAUCAUACAAAAAAUAAUACAAACCAAAAAACGCAAGGAUAUAGAAACUGCUUUAGAGUGAAUGUUAUUCGAAACUGCUUUAGAAUGAAUGUUAUUCUGUGUUACCUAAUUGUAUGCAAAGGCUGGAGAGAGCUGCUUGUAUGUGCUACAAUGUAGUGGUUGCUUUUCAUACUGAUAUCCAUGUUGUCUUUUUUUUUUUUUUUUAGGAUUAAAGACCUGAUGAGAGUUCACUUUAAUGCAAUUGACUAGGAAAUUUGAUUGUUUCAGUCACGUAACAUUUUAAGAUAAUAACUGGAAUUAUGACUAAUUACAUUAUAACAAGAUAUAUCAUGGACACCAAAGACAUUGAAAAAUUUCUAGGAACUUCAUACAAUUUUGGAAACAUUAAUAACAUAUAUCCAUAAAAAUACAAACUAAAGAAGAUUAAACAUUGCUUCUUUUUUUCUCAACAAACUGUAAAUAAAAUUUAAUAGGGUAUCAUGUAGCCAGAAGGAGGCAGUGCGCCAUUUAGAGGAGUGAUUGUUAUGUCAAAGUGAUCUCCUACAGGGAACUCAUUAGACUGCAGGGUUACAGAAUCAUCAGUCUUCUUUCUCCUAGACAUGGUACUGCCAGUCUUCUUAUUUGAUAGCUGAAUGUUUUAAGUGCCAUAAAAGAAUCACAGAAUUUAUCUAUGUACCCUUUCUAGCUCCUGGGUAGAUUUCUUUCACUAAACUAGUUAGUUUGUUCAAGGUUGCAUUCAACCAAGUGUACCACUGUAGCUCACUGGAUUGUACAUUUCUGCAGGAGGACGUGUCCAUUCCAUGAUGGGAGACAUUGCUGGUGGUGAAGACACACAGCAGCAGGAGAACUUGGAAGCUACUUGGAUGUCUUUCAGUAGGCGAAUGGUGCAUCUGGACAGCAAAGUAUUAUUCAGUGUUAAGAAGAAAUCAGCUACCAAGCCAUGAAAAGAUUGGAAACAAAACGAAACAAAAAGAUUGGUCAUAUUCAGAAUUGGAGAAGUGAUGGAAGUGGGCAUGCUCAUCUACUGUGGGUGGAAGAUAAAUUAAUUAAGCUUUCAUGUGGAACAAGUUUAUCAAAACUGUGAGUUCCUUUU
Orcinus orca (killer whale) is the source of this 3155-nucleotide long non-coding RNA. RefSeq lists it as uncharacterized. The record is from RefSeq and is a predicted model, not a curated record. The transcript has 3 exons. NCBI's taxonomy places the organism in Eukaryota, Metazoa, Chordata, Mammalia, Artiodactyla, Delphinidae.